RNAcentral lists this ribosomal RNA (500 nucleotides) under uncultured bacterium. RNAcentral describes it as "partial 16S ribosomal RNA". It matches the Rfam family "Bacterial small subunit ribosomal RNA", at positions 28 to 523 of the family's 1533-position model. The record is from RNAcentral.
GAUGAACGCUAGCGGCAGGCUUAAUACAUGCAAGUCGUGGGGCAGCAUGAGUAGCAAUACUUGAUGGCGACCGGCAAACGGGUGCGGAACACGUACACAACCUUCCGAUAAGUGGGGAAUAGCCCAGAGAAAUUUGGAUUAAUACCCCGUAACAUAUAGAGUAGGCAUCUUCUUUAUAUUAUAGCUUCGGCGCUUAUUGAUGGGUGUGCGUCUGAUUAGGUAGUUGGCGGGGUAACGGCCAACCAAGCCUACGAUCAGUAGCUGAUGUGAGAGCAGGAUCAGCCAAACGGGCACUGAGACACGGGCCCGAGUCCUACGGGAGGCAGCAGUAAGGAAUAUUGGACAAUGGGCGAAAGCCUGAUCCAGCCAUGCCGCGUGAAGGAUUAAGGUCCUCUGGAUUGUAAACUUCUUUUAUUUGGGACGAAAAAAGGGAAUUCUUUCCCACUUGACGGUACCAAGUGAAUAAGCACCGGCUAACUCCGUGCCAGCAGCCGCGGUAA